This 424-nucleotide ribosomal RNA is filed under the name uncultured bacterium. Its description in RNAcentral is "bacterial SSU rRNA". It matches the Rfam family "Bacterial small subunit ribosomal RNA", at positions 358 to 774 of the family's 1533-position model. The record is from RNAcentral.
GGAAUUUUGGACAAUGGGCGCAAGCCUGAUCCAGCAAUGCCGCGUGAGUGAAGAAGGCCUUCGGGUUGUAAAGCUCUUUUGUCAGGGAAGAAACGGUGAGGGCUAAUAUCCCUUGCUAAUGACGGUACCUGAAGAAUAAGCACCGGCUAACUACGUGCCAGCAGCCGCGGUAAUACGUAGGGUGCAAGCGUUAAUCGGAAUUACUGGGCGUAAAGCGUGCGCAGGCGGUUUUUCAAGACAGAUGUGAAAUCCCCGGGCUUAACCUGGGAAUGGCAUUUGUGACUGGAAGGCUAGAGUGUGUCAGAGGGGGGUAGAAUUCCACGUGUAGCAGUGAAAUGCGUAGAGAUGUGGAGGAAUACCGAUGGCGAAGGCAGCCCCCUGGGAUAACACUGACGCUCAUGCACGAAAGCGUGGGGAGCAAACA